This 811-nucleotide long non-coding RNA is filed under the name Phaseolus vulgaris (common bean). Its description in RNAcentral is "long non-coding RNA (PVUL_LNC002084)". Lineage: Eukaryota; Viridiplantae; Streptophyta; Magnoliopsida; Fabales; Fabaceae. The record is from RNAcentral.
UUCUACAGUGUAGUUUAGAGGUAGGGAAUGAUGAAGGGAAUCGAUGAGGACAUUCACAUUAGUAAGUAUAUAGUGUAAUUAUAGGUCUUUUAUGGCAUUUCUCAUUACAAUGUAUUAGAGCAACAUACUAUAAGUAGAAGAGACUGAGAGGUGAGAUGUUAGGCUCUCUUGAUUGAAUGAAGGUGCAAACUACAGUUAAGUAUGGUUCUAAAUUGGAUAUUGGACCAUAUUGGUUUUAUUCUAUAGUGAUACCAUCAUUUUGAUUUUGAACUAGGGUCACUAGAAGUGUAUUAGAGGUGCUGGAAGUAUGCUACAACCAAAAGUAUAGCUUAACAAAGGGUUGGUGAAGGUAUCCUCUUCUGAGUCUACGAGGAAUAUGUUUGAUUUUGUUUUGUAGUCAACAGUGUGAUAACUUGGUGGAAUAGGGUGAAUAUACUGCGAAGCAAAAUCAUAUCAUUAGAUUUGCAAAUGCAACAAAGCUACUGAUAAAUGGAAGGUUAGUACUCUAAAUGUUAGAGGAGCACAAAGUAAAUUUGGAACUAGCUUGCCAGUAACCUUUGCAUAUACUGUUGUAGAUGUGAGGGGGAGGGAGCUUGGCUGGGAUCAAAAGCGCUUGUUCUCAUGCUUCUCUAAAGGUCCUAUGUUGUUAUGGCGAUUGUUUGUUUCCCUAACGAAACUCAUUGAAAUACGAGGAAAAGAGUCAAUUUGAGUGGAGGUAUUAACUUUAUGAGAAUGUUGAUACAUAUCUCUUGUUUUUCACAUUUAAUGUUGUUGAUUCACUUACCACAUAAAUUUGUUCAAUGUAUAAAGA